UACAGAGGGUGCUAGCGUUGUUCGGAAUCAUUGGGCGUAAAGGGCGUGUAGGCGGUUUGCUAAGUCAUGUGUGAAAUCCCUCGGCUCAACUGGGGAGGGUCACGCGAUACUGAUCGACUCGAAGGCAGGAGAGGGUAGUGGAAUUCCCGGUGUAGUGGUGAAAUGCGUAGAUAUCGGGAGGAACACCAGUGGCGAAGGCGACUACCUGGCCUGUUCUUGACGCUGAGGCGCGAAAGCUAGGGGAGCAAACGGG
Molecule: ribosomal RNA, 253 nt
Filed under: uncultured bacterium
Lineage: Bacteria
Description: partial 16S ribosomal RNA
Rfam family: Bacterial small subunit ribosomal RNA
Source: RNAcentral